Molecule: ribosomal RNA, 253 nt
Filed under: uncultured bacterium
Lineage: Bacteria
Description: partial 16S ribosomal RNA
Rfam family: Bacterial small subunit ribosomal RNA
Source: RNAcentral
UACGUAGGGAGCGAGCGUUGUUCGGAGUUACUGGGCGUAAAGAGUGCGUAGGCGGUUUUCUAAGUUUGGUGUGAAAUCUCCCGGCUCAACUGGGAGGGUGCGCCGAAGACUGGAAGGCUAGAGUGUGGGAGAGGUAAGCGGAAUUCCUGGUGUAGCGGUGAAAUGCGUAGAUAUCAGGAGGAACACCUGCGGUGUAGACGGCUUACUGGACCAUAACUGACGCUGAGGCACGAAAGCGUGGGGAGCAAACAGG